AGUGAACGCUGGCGGUAGGCCUAACACAUGCAAGUCGAACGGCAGCACAGUAAGAGCUUGCUCUUACGGGUGGCGAGUGGCGGACGGGUGAGGAAUACAUCGGAAUCUACUUUUUCGUGGGGGAUAACGUAGGGAAACUUACGCUAAUACCGCAUACGACCUACGGGUGAAAGCAGGGGAUCUUCGGACCUUGCGCGAUCGAAUGAGCCGAUGUCGGAUUAGCUAGUUGGCGGGGUAAAGGCCCACCAAGGCGACGAUCCGUAGCUGGUCUGAGAGGAUGAUCAGCCACACUGGAACUGAGACACGGUCCAGACUCCUACGGGAGGCAGCAGUGGGGAAUAUUGGACAAUGGGCGCAAGCCUGAUCCAGCCAUACCGCGUGGGUGAAGAAGGCCUUCGGGUUGUAAAGCCCUUUUGUUGGGAAAGAAAAGCAGCAGGUUAAUACCCCGCUGUUCCGACGGUACCCAAAGAAUAAGCACCGGCUAACUUCGG
Molecule: ribosomal RNA, 491 nt
Filed under: uncultured bacterium
Lineage: Bacteria
Description: partial 16S ribosomal RNA
Rfam family: Bacterial small subunit ribosomal RNA
Source: RNAcentral